UAGCGGCAGCGGCGGCAGCGGCUGAACCGGUAGAGGCGGGGGCCGUGGCGGUGGAGCCGUUAGAGGCGGCCACGGCGGCCGAGCCGGUAGAGCCGGCGGCGGCGGCGGCCGCAGCGGUGACCUUAGCGAGCACAGGAUCCGGAGCUGGAGCCCAGCAAGAACCAGCGGCAGGUCCUUGUUCCCCUAAGUCAGGCCCCGCCUCCCAGCCCUGCCCAGCCCACGCUGGCUGCCUGCUGAGUCUGGGAGCCUCACGCUGUGCCCUCCGCCAGCCGCGCCAGGCUUCCCUGCGGUGAUGAGGUGCUUUCUGCUGUUUUUUAAUUUAGGCCUUGGGAGGGGGAGGAGGGGCAGGUGCUGCAGGCCCGCACCCCUCCCCCCCCCCACCUCCGGCCGGCUUUGGCGGCAUAUAUCUGGCGCCGUCCAGGGGCACCGCGAGCGGUGCGGUUGGAGCAGAGCGCACAGCGGAGGCUGCGCCCAGAGAGGAGCUCACUUCUCCGCCCCACCGGGAGGCAGCGGCUAGGACGACUCUGAGAGCCGGUCCAGCCUCUUGGGGAUGAGGAUGUCCAGCAGCCUCUGGCUAGGCGGGCUGACAAGCGAGGGGCCGCUCGUCUCUGCCCAGCUGUCUGUGGGGCUUUCCCAGUUGGAGGCCUCCUCUGGUGAGGAGGGCUCUUGCUGGGCCUCCCACUUGGAUGAGGUGGGGAAGAACAAGGCCUUGGUGGUCUCCCACCAGCAGGAGAGGAAUGCCGUGGGAUGGCUGGCGAGGCCAAGACUCCAGAUGGCUGGGAUGGCAGAUGCCCAAAAGGAGUUACCUGGAGGUGGGAGUGAGGACGGAUCACUCGUGAGGUAGGGGCAUAGUAGGAAGAAGAGCCCCAGUCCACACACCAAGGCGAGGAUGGUUUCACCCACCCAGGAAGCGGGCCUGGGGCGCCACCAAGGAGCACCCAUAUGGUUCCCAGAAGAGUGGAGAUUCUUCAUCUCCUCGCAAGGCUGUCACAGGAAACAGCAGCCCUGUUACCCUCAGGAUGUCCUUCAGAGCCCUCCACAUGGUUGCAAAUCUUAAGUCUGUUUUUCCCAUGUGAUUCUACAUUGUCCCAAGGGCAAGAUUAAAGCAUCCAAUUCCUCUUCUUAAUAGGUACUCAUCAUGUUCUGAUUCACUAACAGCCAAAUAAGAGAAAAUCUGUUAAAAUGUUUAAAUGAACCACAUGAUUUGAAAGACUAUAAAUCUAAUGAGUAACAGA
This is a long non-coding RNA of Phacochoerus africanus (Common warthog), 1235 nucleotides long. RefSeq lists it as uncharacterized. The record is from RefSeq and is a predicted model, not a curated record. NCBI's taxonomy places the organism in Eukaryota, Metazoa, Chordata, Mammalia, Artiodactyla, Suidae. The transcript is spliced from 5 exons.